This is a long non-coding RNA of Mirounga angustirostris (Northern elephant seal), 7102 nucleotides long. RefSeq lists it as uncharacterized. The record is from RefSeq and is a predicted model, not a curated record. The transcript has 7 exons. Lineage: Eukaryota; Metazoa; Chordata; Mammalia; Carnivora; Phocidae.
GCAGGAAACUGUUCCAGAAAAAGUCAGGGUAAAUUUUUGAAGUAAGCGUGUGUAAUAUUCUUUCUACAGCGUUGCCCCAGCUACUGGCAAAUAUAAAUACCAGCUAUGUACCUGGACACAAGUGACUGUGUCUUUGGUUCACAGAACACAGAUCUGCAGCUUCGGUGAAUUACCACCAUUCACUUUGUUAAGUCCCCUGGGCUUGGUUGUUAAGAAUCCGAGGAUAUCUAUCUGUUCAUUCUGUCUCCAAGCUUUAAUGAACUUAUGAAAAUGAACUUGUUAAAAUGUGACUAUAAAUAUUCAUGAUUAACAUUUGAGAUAACAAGAACUCCCGUUUAAGAAGGCAAGGCACUGUAAAAAGCAUUUCCCAUAAAACGACCCAAUAAAAACCCUAUGGCUCCCAUUUUUACAGGUGAGGAAACUGGGAAGAUUAAGAAAUGCACCUAGUGUCACACAAAUUCAAGAUAAUCUGACCAAAAAAUCUAAGCCCUUAACACGUGUUGAAUAAACAAGCAAUUGCAAAAACAUUGCUAUUAUCCUCCCAAUUUCGUUUUCACUUCUAUGUUGGUGCUACUGUUUUCUGAGAUUAAAAUUUAAAAUUCAGACAGAGCCUGCAGCUAGCUUGCUGGGGCCACUUUGGUUUGCUGUUGCAAGAGGAAAUUUUCUUUUUCUUUUUUUGGCAGGGGAAAGACGGGUCAAAUUUUUUCCCAUCUUAAUCAGUAUCUUAGUACAGAUUUUUCAUUUUAAAAAACAUUUUCUUUUUUUUUUCAUUAUUUAUUGGGACCUAUUUGACAUACAACAUUAUGUUAAGUUUCAGGUAUACAAUAUAAUGAUCCAGUGUUUGUGUGUAUUGCAAAAUGGCCACUAUAAUAAGUCUAGUUAACAUCCACCACAAGCAUAGUUACAGAAAUUUUUACUUGUGAUGAGAGCAAAUGGAAAGAGUAAUAAUAACAGGAGUCCUAGAAUCCUGGGUCCUGGGGUUGGAGGGGACACAUGUUUUAGUUUCCUGUGAUCAACUUCCCCCUUCUUCUGCUACCUCAAGAUGUCCCCACCCCUCUAGAUCAAGGGAUGGACAUGUGAGCCAAGCAAGGCGACCAGAGCUGAGGAGCACAAGUCUGGUUCCGGUGACAAUCCCUGAAGAGACUGCCCUUGCGUUCUGGCUACCCACAGCUCCGGAGCUUCCCAGGUUCCAGGCUUUUCUGAAGCAUAGUUCAUUAGCUUUCCCAGCAAUCGGAAAACUGGCCCAAUUUGUUGCUUGGAACUGAAGACUCCUGACUGAUAGAGACAGAGAGAGAAAGAAUCUCAAUAAGACUCCCGCUGAGCAUGGAGCCUGACAUGGGGCUCAAUCUCACAACCCUGAGAUCAUGAUCUGAACCAAAAUCAAGCAUCGGACGCUUAACUGACUGAGCCACCCAAGCACCACUAUUUUUUUUUUUUUUAAGUAGGCCCUAUGCCCAGUGUGGAGCUUGAACUCAUGACCCUGAGAUCAAGACCUGAGCUGAGAUCAAGAGUCAGAUGCUUAACAGACUGAGCCACCCAGGCAUUCCUACCAUUAUAUGUUUUAAGGAUUAAACAACAUAAUAUAUUUUAAAUGUUCAUCACAAUGUCUAAAACAGGAGCGUUCAAUAAAAUGUUGGUUUCAAGUGCUUUGGUUGGAAUAUAGGUAGGUACAGAGGAGCAGAAAGUAGGUUGGAUCCAUAAGGCAGUGAGCUUUGAUGGGGGAUGAAUGUAGAACUUAAAUCCCUAAGCAAAAAGAAAUUGCAAAGAUUUUGGAGUAGGGAAGCACCAUCAUUGGACCUGGGCUUGGGCAGAGCAUGUAGAAUGGGAUAAAAUCUACUCUUUAGAUCGCUGUUGCCAUAGUCCUAGGGAAAGGUAAUGAGGACCUGAGAUAAGGCAGGAGGUAUAGAAAUUUAAAUGCAUUAAUUAGAAAGGCUGGUUAUAUGGAAUAUAGCAACUGCCUACAUUUUGGAGGCAAAAGAGAAGCCAGUAUUUUUGAGCCUGUGUCCCUGAGUCAAUAGUAAUGCUGUUAACCAGGAAGAAUACAUUCAGAGGAGAGCUCUGAGGAGUUCAAGGUACACAUGAGACACUAGGGCAAAGGUGACAGGCAGACAAGUAGAACAGGGACUGGGGCACGGAAGAGAAGGGCAAGCGAGAGUUCCUGGAGCUCCCUGCCAGGGACGAUUGAUGGAAGUGAGGGUGUGGGUGACAGAUCUUCACAGAAGAGUUAAGAUUGCCAUAGAGAAGAAGAGAAAGCAACGAGAGAGAUGAAACCAGUCCUGUGUGUCUGGAGAGGUUACCAACGGGAAAACCCUUCACAAGCUGUCGAGUACUGCAAAGACUCAAGCUGAUGAGAAGCAGAGGAACGAACAGCUGCUGUGGAGAAGGUCACGGGAGUCCUUUCCUGAACCAAGAUGUUCAUUUGGGAGGUCAGACCCUGAGGCUGGAGGAAGUCAGGGACCAUAAUGACAGGAGGUCAAGCACUCAACACCUGUAAUCACAAUGGUUUCUCCCAAGGAUCUUGAGAGAUUUCCCAGCAGAAGAAUUGAGAUGGAUGAUAAUACGGGAGAAAAAUGUUCCACUGUGGCCAGCUCGUGUUCUUUUGGAGAGCUGUUUGCACACAUGUCGAGAGGCCGCCAAGAGCCCCAGUUGGCUCACAUAGUGGGUGGGGAGGUCACGCCGCUCCCUGGGACCUGGGAUGGAGUGACCUCUGUCUUUCGAUCCCCCCCGGGGAGGAUGCAGCUUACGCUGGCUCAUGUCCUGCCACAGGCUGUCACCUCAGAUGGCCUCACUGAGGCCAGCUGGAGUUACCAGCAAGUUCGCGUCAGCCUGGUUCCAUAAUGCCCUCGCGUGUCUCCCCUCGGGGGGUGCAGACUGACACUGCCACCACGGGGCUGUGGAAACUACUAGGAAAAGUGAAGUAGAGAUACCUUUUUUUUUUUUUUUAGAUAACACUUUUUUGACCUCGCUCACAAAGUCUCUCCUUAAUGAAAAAGCAAGAGGGUCUGAGUAUGGGAAGAAAAGGCUAAAAUACUAGUGUCUCCAGGGGAAUUUUCCUCCAGAAGAAUUCAAGAUCACAGUGGGACUCAUGCUCCCUGGGAACAGUUUAUUUUCUAAUAAUGAACCUAUAGAAUCACAAAAUCGGACCGUAUAGUCCCUCCUGACUGACGUGUGGAAGGAUAAUGGACAUGCUGGUCCUACGUGAAAGGAAACUGUGGUCCAGACUUCAGGAAAAAGAUAUAGUGACAGAAAUUUGCAUACAGGAAGUUUAUUGUAAAGUGGUCUCAGGAAUAAAAAUUGUGAGGAGUUAAAGAAGCAGGAUUGGGCAAGAGAAGUUGAACUAUGGGGAAAUUGCAAGGAAGUCUUCAGCAGAUCCCACAGAAGCUCGGGAGCUUGGAUAGUCCUUCAGCAUUGUCCCAAAUUCAGGGUAGCUGACGAAGACUUCACACAAGUGGUGACAUUGGACUCUCCAAAAAGAGAAGACAGGGAAGGACAUCUGUGCAAGUCUGAAGGUCAGUGCCUAAGUCCUUGACUCUUGAGUACUGGUGAGUGAGGUUAGGGAGUGAAGAGAGAAAUAAAUGAUAAAAUGAUAAAUGAUAAAAGUUGACUGGGGCGCUCUUAUGAAGGCCUCACAUGCCAUGUUACAGAGAUUGAACUGCAUCAGGGGCAGAUGGGGUAAUGGCACUGGUCAUUGAAGGAGUUGAAGCAUGGGAAGGCGGUGAUCAGGUAUGGCUCAGGAAGAUGAGAGGGACCUCACACUCUCCUGGUUUUCUGCCUGCCUUGUUUGCCUCAGUGUCCCCUGCAUGUUCACCCCCAUCAUCUGCCUCUAAAUGCUAGAGUCCAUGGAGGCCUAGUCCUCAGCAGCUCUGAACUUCCUCCCUCAUCUCACUCACACCCAGAGCUUUGAAAACUAUAUAUUCAUAGCUCCAUAUUAUAUCACCAGCCUCAAGCCCUAUUGCUUGUUUCUUGGCAUCUCCCCUGAAUGUGCAAAAGCAGCUCAAACUCAACAUGACCAAAAUGGAAUUCAUGAUCCACUAUUCCUAAAAACCCUUGGUCCUCAACCUCUUGUAUCUCAGAAAAUGGCACUAUCUUCCAUCUAGCUUAUAAGGCGAAAACUUAGGCUUCUUUCUUUCUUUUUGUUUUUAAAGAUUUUAUUUAUUUGACAGAGAGACACAGCGAGAGAAGGAACACAAGCAGGGGGAGUGGGAGAGGGAGAAGCAGGCUUCCCGCCAAGCAGAGAGCCCGAUGCGGGGCCCGAUCCCAGGACCCCGGGAUCACGACCUGAGCCAAAGGCAGACGCCCAACGACUGAGCCACCCAGGCGCCCCCUUAGGCUUCUUUCUAGAUUAAUUCCUCUUCCUCACCACCAGCCCAUGUCCAAUUUUUCACCAAGACUUAGGGAUUUUACUUGUUAAGUAUCUUUCUACCCAUUCACUUCCUCCAUCCCUUCAUCUUCCACCUGAAUCUUAGCUCUCACCCUCUCUUCUUUAAACUACUGCUGCCACUCUGAACUGGUCUCCCCACAUCCAGCCCCUACUCUACACGGUAGGCAGAAUGCCUUUCAACAAAAUAAAUUUGGUCAUGCCAGUCACUUACUUAAACCCCCCUAAUGACUUUCUCCUUUUAAUUUAGGAUAAGGACCCCAAUCCUUAAUAUUUCCUACAAGGCACUGCGUGAGCCGACAUCUGCUUCCUUUCUGGUCUCAUUUGGGGCCCUGUUCCUUCUUUUUGCCCCAGUCUAGUCACACUGGCCUUUUGUGAGUUUUUUAAACCACCCCUCAUAGGGCAUUUGCACAUGCUGUCCCCUCUGCCUAGAGAGCUCCAUUUCCUCUCUUUCCCUGCAUUCCCUUGCAUCCCUGUCUCCACAUGAAUGUUAGUCUCUCAGAGGAAGCCUUCCUCGGCUUAUAGCACAUCAGCACUGUCUAUAAUUACGUUUUUGUGAUGAAUCAUUACCUGCCUCCCACUGUAGACUGUAGGCUUUGUGAAGACUAGAACUUUGUCUGGUUGGCAUGUUAUUAGAUCCUUAAGACUUAGCAGUUUUCGAUACACAAAACCUAUUUUUGAGUGACCAUGGGAGGAGAAUCUGGCAACCAGGAGACCAGUUAAGAAAAGGCAUUGUAAUAGCCCAGAGGAGAAAUGAAAAGAGUCUGAAUUAAGGCUUAGUGAAGAAGAAGAGAUUUUAAGGAGGUAAUAUAUGGAUUAGGGUCUUUGGAUAUAAACAAUAUCCUGUCUCACUUAAGCAAAAAAGGGAUUUAUUGGAGGGAUAGGGGGAGUUCACAUUACAAAAGGAUAAUCUAACAGCUAGCCCCAAGAACAAGAGGAGUCAGGGCAGAGAUAGCAGGUCGAGAAGCAGAAACAAAUGGAGGGUGAUCUCUUUAAAGCACUAUUGGAGUAAGUCCACUUCAGCCAUUUUUCAGACCUUAUGUCAUUUCUCUCAAGAUCCCAGGUCCAGGGAGAGAGAGUCUGGCAGUCCCAGCAAAGCUGCGUGCAGGGGAUGGAUAGUUUUCCACAGGAAAAGGUGAGUGUUGUUGACAAAGGGAGGAGAAAGGAAUGAUGCCAGCCGAAUCCACAGACAUCCACCUCAGGAGCAUCAACAGACAAGAUGAAAGGGCAUGAACAAGAAGCCAAGGAUAAAUCGCAGGUUCCCAGCUUGCAGGAUGGUGGUACCAUUCAUCAGGUUAGAGAAUACAGGAGGAGUAUUCUAGGGGGCGGAUGAGUCUGACUUGCCCACCAAGUAGUUGACCUGCAGUAUGGCUCUGAACCUUAGGACUUAGGGAUUUGGAAGUUUUCAGCCUCUCUCUACAAGAGAGAAAAGCAUGAGCAUGGAUGUGAUGACUAGGGACAGGGUAUUGAGUGAAGAGAGAGAAGAACCAUGGGUGGAAUGCUAGGGAGUAGAAAAAAUUAAGAAGCAGGUAAAGGGAAAAAAGCCAGGCAGGUUAGAGUGACAUAUUUAAUGAGGCACACUGGCCAAUUGAGAAGUCAGAGGUCUUGUGUUUUUGAUUUUCAUUUUGUUUUGUUUUUCAAAGUAAGGUAAUUUCCUCAGCCUCUUCUGAAGAAGGAAAGUUGCUGUGACCAUGAGGUCACCUCGUGGCCAAGAGCUCAUAGGCUCCUUAUGUAUUUUAGAGCAAAAAGGAGAAGGCUCACCUGUAAAGCCUGGACCCAAAUGGGUAACUAAAAUAGAUUGUUUAGGAAGUUUUGCUACUCAAAUGCAGUCCUACUAGUCGCAUCAGCAUCACCUGGGAGCUUGCUAGAACUGCACCACCCCAUACCUAAUGAAUGAGAAUCUGCAGCUUAAGAUCCCCAGGUAUUGAUACACACACGUAUGAGAAACAUUGUCCUAAAGAGGGAUGGUAUGGAAUUUGUGGGUUUUAGGAGUUGAAGAGAAGGGUGCCCCAACUCUUAUGGAGUCUAGAGGACUUGGAGCCAAACUCAUUGCAACUUCAUGGUGAAGAGGAGAUGGCCCUGGGCCCACACAAUUGCAGCACUGGUGGUUACUAAUGGGGACUGAGUACUAAGCUCAUGACCUUGAGAGCUUCCCUGAGUGUCUCUAUGGCUGACCCAGCACCAAGGGCAUGUAGAUACUUGCUCUAACAUGAACCACACUUGGCUGCCAGGAGUCCGCAGCAGCAUCCACCGUGGAUUGCAUAAACCCUCAGGGGGCUGUUAGAUCUGGCAGUUAGAUCAAGCAUAAUUUCCAACAAAUAAUGACGUAGAAACCAAAUGACAAUAGUCAAAUAACAAAUGGGAAGACGAGAAAAUGUACCCAAUGAACAGAGAGUCAGGAAUAUAGAAAUUUGACUACAAAGAGAAGGAAACAGGGGUGACAGCAAGCUAGAGAAGGAAGGCAGACAAAGGAUGUUUUGCAUCAUUUUGUUUAUGAUGAGCACAUUUAAGUAUCUAGAGCUAAGAGAUCAGUGAGGGAAAGGAGGUUGGCUUGAAAGAAGUUAGUUAAGGAGGCAAAACACUUACCAAGGAUAGUAAGGGAUAGUUGUGAGCAAUAUUUAGAAGGUAGCCUCAGCGGGGCUUUGUGACUGGUUAGACACAAGGGGGGGGGGGUAGUUAAUUUCCCUAGUGUUGACGCCAGGAGAGGCGGUGAAGUACAGAAGG